This is a long non-coding RNA of Folsomia candida, 1375 nucleotides long. RefSeq lists it as uncharacterized. Lineage: Eukaryota; Metazoa; Arthropoda; Collembola; Entomobryomorpha; Isotomidae. The transcript is spliced from 3 exons. The record is from RefSeq and is a predicted model, not a curated record.
UAUACAUGUAUACGCAGAAGUAAGCAAAUUAGCAAUACAGAGAAAAUGCUGUGAGAUACCGACAUACAUAGCUUGCAUGAAGCUGUAAAGAUUAUCCAUAGGCUUAUUCGUUCAUUGAGGUUACUUGGUCCAACUCUUCAACAGCCAAAUACGCAAAUACACUUAUUUAGUCCAUCAACUUCAUUUAGAAAUGGCUAAACUCCAGUGUCUUUUAUUGUCUUUUGCGGCAUUUUGUCUAAUAUUAAACAUGGGGACAGCUUGUCGACCAACAAACGCCAACAAUCCUGUUUGCGGGAAUAAUGGACAGACUUACAUGAACAUGGGGCACCUGUUGUGUGCAAAUUGGAGCAAUCCAGAGUUGAAUAUCAAGGUUUGUCACACAGGAGAAUGUGAUGGUAAAACACCUUGUACGGAAGCGGAUAAAAACUAAAACCAUUUUCGUGAUUCAUUCAACGUUUAAAAAUUGUUUAAAAAAUGUAUAAAAAUAAGCGAUAAUUUUAUCAUUAUAAUUUUAUCAUUCAUUGAAUUUUAAUGUGUGACAUAAAGACAACUUGAAUUUCUACAUUGCUUGGUUGUAUAAUGUUCAAUUAUUUAAGCUAAAAAUGACAUGCUAGUCAGCACGGAUCAAAUUAGGUAAAAUUUGUGAAGCUGGUAAAAAGCAUCGCAUGCACAGCGACAGCAAUUCGGAGCAAGUAUGUAUGUUUUUCUGGCGUGUAGGAAUAGUAAGAAUUUGAGACAGGUUAUACAGGACGUUUUGCGUCAUUCGCUUUAUGUUAAUUCUACUAAACCGAGUAUGAUGUACUUUUCAGAGAAUAAUCAAGUGCUACUUAAUUCUUCUCAUGGUCAAAUGAUAAAUAAUAAUCUAUGGCGUGGUAUAGUAAAUCUACUCCUAUGCUAAUGCUAUGUGUGUCUAGAUAAAAUAUACGUAUGUACAUAUUUAUGUAGGUUGUCACAAGUUCUACGGUUGCGAAGAGAGUCGUGUGAUAAUAGACAAACCACACAGCAAACUUCGAAAAUUUCCUCACCAUGAACAAAAUUUAUUAUUUCAUUUUCGUUUUUACUGUACUAUCGCAAUUGAGUUUAGUAACACCAUGCAAGCCAACUGGUACAUUGGACCCUGUUUGUGGCACAAAUGGGCAAACUUACCGAAAUUCUGGACAUUUAUUUUGUGCAAAUUGGAGCAAUCCUGAUUUGAAAAUCGAAAUCUGCCACAAAGGAGAGUGCAGCGAAGGUGGAAACAUUCCUUGUACAUCAAAUACAAAAAAGAGCGAUUAGAUAAUGCCAGCCAAUCCAAAGACCGUUGAAUAAUAUUUUAUUCUAAAUUUGCACUUAUCUAAAUAAAUGUUUGAUUCAAUAAAUAAAAUACAACCAUCAA